AUAGUCGUAGCUGUUGCUAUUUCACAGUGUGUUUUCGGUUCAUGAAGGUUAAUUGUAACAUUUUGAUCGCCUAAAAACGUCUUGUUCAACGUUUGGCUGUACUAAAAGACCCUCUAAGGAGUCAGAUGUUCAGUUUUUCCAAUGGCGACGGUCAAUCGCUGAACUCCAGGCUUCAAAACAGUCCACAAACUAAUAGAUGACGUCAUGGAAGACGAGCGACCGCCUUUGUGGAAGAAAAAAUAAAGAAUAAAAGAGCAGGAGAAAGGAUGAAAAGCAGCGGACGUCAGCUUCUCUG
Thunnus maccoyii (southern bluefin tuna) is the source of this 295-nucleotide long non-coding RNA. RefSeq lists it as uncharacterized. NCBI's taxonomy places the organism in Eukaryota, Metazoa, Chordata, Actinopteri, Scombriformes, Scombridae. The record is from RefSeq and is a predicted model, not a curated record. The transcript has 3 exons.